This 307-nucleotide ribosomal RNA is filed under the name Polyangium jinanense. Its description in RNAcentral is "bacterial SSU rRNA". It matches the Rfam family "Bacterial small subunit ribosomal RNA", at positions 1 to 294 of the family's 1533-position model. Lineage: Bacteria; Pseudomonadati; Myxococcota; Polyangiales; Polyangiaceae. The record is from RNAcentral.
UAACUGGAGAGUUUGAUCCUGGCUCAGAACGAACGUUAGCGGCGCGCCUAACACAUGCAAGUCGUGCGAGAAAGGGCUUCGGCCCCGGUAAAGCGGCGCACGGGUGAGUAGCACGUAGGUAACCUACCCUCUGGUGGUGGAUAACCUUCCGAAAGGAGGGCUAAUACAGCAUAAGACCACGGCCUCGCAAGAGGCAGGGGUAAAAGCGGGCCUCUGCAUGCAAGCUCGCACCAGGGGAUGGGCCUGCGGCCCAUCAGCUAGUUGGUGAGGUAAUGGCUCACCAAGGCAAAGACGGGUAGCUGGUCUG